GAUGAACGCUGGCGGCGUGCCUAAUACAUGCAAGUCGAGCGAACAGACGAGGAGCUUGCUCCUCUGACGUUAGCGGCGGACGGGUGAGUAACACGUGGAUAACCUACCUAUAAGACUGGGAUAACUUCGGGAAACCGGAGCUAAUACCGGAUCAUAUAUUGAACCGCAUGGUUCAAUAGUGAAAGACGGUUUUGCUGUCACUUAUAGAUGGAUCCGCGCCGCAUUAGCUAGUUGGUAAGGUAACGGCUUACCAAGGCAACGAUGCGUAGCCGACCUGAGAGGUUGAUCGGCCACACUGGAACUGAGACACGGUCCAGACUCCUACGGGAGGCAGCAGUAGGGAAUCUUCCGCAAUGGGCGAAAGCUUGACGGAGCAACGCCGCGUGAGUGAUGAAGGUCUUCGGAUCGUAAAACUCUGUUAUUAGGGAAGAACAAAUGUGUAAGUAACUAUGCACGUCUUGACGGUACCUAAUCAGAAAGCCACGGCUAACUACGUG
Molecule: ribosomal RNA, 497 nt
Filed under: uncultured bacterium
Lineage: Bacteria
Description: partial 16S ribosomal RNA
Rfam family: Bacterial small subunit ribosomal RNA
Source: RNAcentral